GAUGAACGCUAGCGGCAGGCUUAAUACAUGCAAGUCGAGGGGCAACAGGGGUAGCAAUACCUGCUGGCGACCGGCAAACGGGUGCGGAACACGUACAGAACCUUCCUUUAAGCGGGGGAGUAGCCCACUAGAAAUAGUGGAUUAAUACCCACUAGUAAUACUGGCUGGCAUCAGCUGGUAUUUAAAGUAAUUUAUUCACUUAAAGAAUGGCUGUGCGGCUGAUUAGGUAGUUGGUGCGGGUAACGGGCCCACCAAGCCAGCGAUCAGUAACUGGUGUGAGAGCACGACCAGUCACACGGG
Molecule: ribosomal RNA, 300 nt
Filed under: uncultured bacterium
Lineage: Bacteria
Description: bacterial SSU rRNA
Rfam family: Bacterial small subunit ribosomal RNA
Source: RNAcentral